AGCAACACCUUCUGGUAUCCUGUACUGAAAAAAUCAGCAUACCUUUAAUUGCAUAUAAGAAAGAACUGGUUCCCGGAUCUUCGGAUGUACCAAAACAGGUACUUCCGAUCUGACAAAAAGGCAAAAUGUACCCUCCUUUUUAAAUUUCAUGCCAUUUUUUUAUUGUUCAAAUUUAUCAGUCAAAAAUUGUUCUACAAUGAUCACCAGUCAUGUAGCUUUCAUUUGAUACCAAAAUUAAUAAAAUAUUCUACAUAUUUUGAAAGAUAUGUCCAUGCGUAGGAACUAUUUUGUGUUAAAUAUGUACUACUUUCUGGUAUGUGCUUUCUGGCCGGGCCCGAAUUAGUGGUGUUACACCUAUAACAGAAUUUUUUCUCAAAUUAAGAGAUUUCAAUGCACCAGUCAUGUUCCAAAAUCAUUUCUGAGCAUGCGUUUAAAAUUUUACAUGUCUACAUAACACGGUUACUGAAAAAAAUAAAAAACUAGAACCCCUAUCUCAGCUGAUUUCUAUAACAUAAGUCUUUAAAAUGGGGUAAAUGACCACUUACAUUAGACUUUGAAUUAAAACCUCAAAAAGGAGAUUUAAGUGCAUUUUUUUGUUUUCCUAGUUCACUUCAUACAUUAAACCAUCAGCCUAGAAC
RNAcentral lists this long non-coding RNA (638 nucleotides) under Mytilus galloprovincialis (Mediterranean mussel). The record is from RNAcentral. Lineage: Eukaryota; Metazoa; Mollusca; Bivalvia; Mytilida; Mytilidae.